UCCCCUUACAUGGGAGAGGCCAGAAGGCCCUGGGGAAGAGUUUUUCCCAGACGCCGAAAUUAAUAGGAUAUCUAACAUAUCUGAAUCUACACAACUUGUAAACCGGGAAGAAUUGGGGGAUAAAACAGUAACGAGUACAUAGAGAGCUCGGCAAAAGCAAAUGCAAGGCAAUGACGAAAUCCAGAGAAAACGAAAAGUUACAGCAGAAGGAAAAAUUAAUCAUGGCUCAUCCGUGAAUAGUAGUUAACUGUUACCCGAAACUCCGAAAAUUACUCUAACCCAGAAGAAGUCACAACUGGGAGGAUGAAGGGCCAGAAAGUCUAGGGUGCCAAGGGUGAAGAGACCAGAAGUGGAGGGGUGAAGGGUGAAGGAGACAGGAAGUCUAAGGGGGUGGAAAGUGAUGAGAUGAUGGGUGUGUGUGUGUGUGUGUGUGUGUGUGUGUGUGCGCGUGUGUGUAGGAGACCAGAAGUGGAGGGGGGAAGGGUGAAGAGUGAAGGAGACCGGAAGCGUAAGGGGGUGGAAGGUGAGAGGUGAAGGAGACCGGAAGUAAAGGGGGUGAAAGGUGUACGAAGACAGGAAGUGUCAGGGGGUGAAGAGUGAAAAAUGUAGAAGAGCCAAAUUGUCACGGGCUGUUCUCAGUUUCAAACACCCAGAGUGGAAAAAGCUAGAAAUAUAAGCCUGUUCUUUGGUGAUAGGGAGAAAGGGAGACCCCGAGGAGUCGACUGGAUGUGCCGUGUGCGGCGGCCGGGCCUACUCGCCACCCUCGGGAGGGCCCCCAGCGAGCGUGGAGGACGGAACCCCCGCAAUCACCGGUAUUUGGCAUCACCUGUCAGGAGCGCCGGGAUCAGGAAACAUCCUGGCUGACCCACGGUGGGCAGGGCCGGGGAAACCACAGCGGAGUUUGGGGAGAGCGGAGCCUGAGGACGCUGAAGACCGCGUCUCAUCCUUCUCUUGUAUCUCCAAAACCAGAACCAGAAAGGGGGAGCCACGUAAAAUCAAGCGCUGAAUUAAUGAAACUCACGUUGAUCGUCAGCUGCUGUUACUGUUAGCAAAAGAGAUAACCGGUGUGUUAUCUCCUGAUGGAAGAACACGGCAUGGCCUCCCCGUGGUGCAACCAGCAAGAUCCGGGCUGGGAGGGGCGCCUGGGGGGCCCAGUCGGGUAAGCAUCGAACCUCGGGCUCAGGUCAGGAUCUCAUGAGCCCCGCGUCGGGCUCUGCGCGGACAGCUCGGAGCCCGGAGCCUGCUUCGGAUUCUCUGUCUCCCUCGCUCUCUGCCCCUCCCCCACUCAUGCUCUGCCUCUUUCUCUCUCAAAAGUAAACAUAAAAAACUGAAAAAAAAAAAAAAAAAAAAAAGAGAGAGAGAGAGAGAGAAAGACCCAGGCUGGGAGACACCCUGCAGGGCAAAUGACCCAGUUCCUUCGCAGGUGCAUGUGCUCGUGCAUGCACACACACAAACACACAUACCCACUGAGUCAAGAAACCUACGGGGUAAAAGAAGCCUGACAGACGUACCCAGCGAUUUCAGCACGUGAACUUAUUUGAAUCCUGAUUCCGGGGCAUCUGGGUGGCUCGGUCGAUGAAGCGUCCAGCUUUGGCUCAGGUCAUGAUCUCACGCUUCAUGGGUUCGAGCCCUGUGUCAGGCUCUCUGCUCUCAGCCCAGAACCUGCUCCAUAUCAUCUGUCCCCCUCUCUGCCCCUCCCCUGCUGGCUCUCUCUCUCUCUCUCUCAAAAAUGGAUAAACUUAAAAAAAAAAUACUUUGAAUCCUGAUCCAAACAAGCAAGAUAUUUUUAAAAUGACAUUUGUCAAUUAGAUAUUUAAAUACUGAGUAUUUGCUGAAAUUAAGAAAGUGUUAAUUUUUUAGGUGUGAUGAUGGUAUUAAGGUUUUAUAUUUUAAAAACUUUUAUUUUAUAUUUAUAUAUUCUAUUUGUGUAAUAAAUAUUUAUAUAUUUUAUGUACUAGGUGCACUUAAAUACAUUUAUAUAAAAUAUUUUAAUUUUUAUUAAAUAUUUUAUAUGUGUCUAUAUCUUCAUGUUUUAUAUUUUUAUAUUAUUUUCAAAUAUUUAAAAUAUUUUGUAUUUUUAUAAUUUUAGUUUUUAAAACUUUUAAUGUUUUAUAAAAUAGAUGUUUAAGGUUUUUCAUAAAAUCUUUAUAUACUGGGGCACCUGGGUGGCUCAGUCGGUUGAGCGUCCAACUUCAGCUCAGGUCAUGAUCUCGCAGCUCAUGAGUUCAGGCCCUGGGUCAGGCUCUAUGCUGACAGCUCAGAGUCCGGAGCCUGCUUCAGAUCCUGUGUCUCCCUUUCUCUCUUCACCUCCCCUGCUUGCACUGUCUCUCUCUUUCUUUCUCUCUCUCAAAAAUAAAAUUAAAAUAAGAAAAAAACUUUAUAUAUUAAGUUAAAAACAUUUUUAAAAUUAUUUUUAAAUUACAUAUUAAAUUAAAAGACAAACCUUUACUUUUUAGAGCUACACACUGAAACAUUUACAGAUGAAAUAAUAUGAAGUCAAGGAUUUUCUUUAAGAAAAUAUAAGGAGGGGCUCCUGGCUGGCUCAGCCGGUGAAGCAUGCAACUCUUGAUCUUGGGUAGUAAGUUCGAGCCCAGGUAGGGUGUCAAGUUUACUUAAAAAGAAAAUCCAGGGGCACCUGGGUGGCUCAGUCAGUCAAGCAUCUGACUUUGGCUCAGGUCGUGAUCCCGCGGUAUGUGGGUUCAAGCCCCGAGUUGGGCUCUGGGCUGGAAGCUCGGAGCCUGGAGCCUGCUUCGGAUUCUGUCUCCCUCCCUCUGUUUCCCUCUCUCUCUGCCCCUCUGUGUCUCUCGCCCUCUGAAAA
Long non-coding RNA from Panthera uncia (snow leopard), 2818 nucleotides. RefSeq lists it as uncharacterized. The record is from RefSeq and is a predicted model, not a curated record. The transcript is spliced from 3 exons. Lineage: Eukaryota; Metazoa; Chordata; Mammalia; Carnivora; Felidae.